This 253-nucleotide ribosomal RNA is filed under the name uncultured bacterium. RNAcentral's name for it is "partial 16S ribosomal RNA". It matches the Rfam family "Bacterial small subunit ribosomal RNA", at positions 524 to 776 of the family's 1533-position model. The record is from RNAcentral.
UACAGAGGUGGCGAGCGUUGUUCGGAAUUACUGGGCGUAAAGGGCGCGUAGGCGGCCUUGUAAGUCCUGUGUGAAAUCCCCUGGCUCAACUAGGGAAUUGCACGGGAGACUGCUUGGCUUGAGUUCGGGAGAGGGAAGCGGAAUUCCGGGUGUAGCGGUGAAAUGCGUAGAUAUCCGGAGGAACACCGGUGGCGAAGGCGGCUUCCUGGACCGACACUGACGCUGAGGCGCGAAAGCUAGGGGAGCAAACGGG